Molecule: ribosomal RNA, 506 nt
Filed under: uncultured bacterium
Lineage: Bacteria
Description: partial 16S ribosomal RNA
Rfam family: Bacterial small subunit ribosomal RNA
Source: RNAcentral
AUUGAACGCUGGCGGCAGGCCUAACAUAUGCAAGUCGAGCGGCAGCGGAAAGUAGCUUGCUACUUUGCCGGCGAGCGGCGGACGGGUGAGUAAUGUCUGGGAAACUGCCUGAUGGAGGGGGAUAACUACUGGAAACGGUAGCUAAUACCGCAUAAUGUCGCAAGACCAAAGAGGGGGGCCUUCGGGCCUCUUGCCAUCAGAUGUGCCCAGAUGGGAUUAGCUAGUAGGUGGGGUAACGGCUCACCUAGGCGACGAUCCCUAGCUGGUCUGAGAGGAUGACAAGCCACACUGGACCGGAGACACGGUCCAGACUCCUACGGGAGGCAGCAGUGGGGAAUACUGCACAAUGGGCGCAAGCCUGAUGCAGCCAUGCCGCGUGUAUGAAGAAGGCCUUCGGGUUGUAAAGUACUUUCAGCGGGGAGGAAGGUGUUGUGGUUAAUAACCACAGCAAUUGACGUUACCCGCAGAAGAAGCACCGGCUAACUCCGUGCCAGCCGCCGCCGUAA